RNAcentral lists this ribosomal RNA (236 nucleotides) under uncultured bacterium. RNAcentral describes it as "partial 16S ribosomal RNA". It matches the Rfam family "Bacterial small subunit ribosomal RNA", at positions 111 to 334 of the family's 1533-position model. The record is from RNAcentral.
UAACACGUGGGUAACCUGCCCCGGAAGUGGGGAAUACCUCGGGGAAACUCGAGCUAAUACCGCAUGACAUCUUCGGGACGAAAGUUCUGACGAUCAAAGCGGGGUCGCAAGAUCUCGCGCUACCGGAUGGGCCCGCGCCCGAUUAGCUAGUUGGUGAGGUAACGGCUCACCAAGGCUUCGACGGGUAGCUGGUCUGAGAGGACGAUCAGCCGGAUUGGGACUGAGAUACGGCCCAG